UCACGUCCGGAGACCUCACUAAAUAAUUCAAUCGGUAGUAGCGACGGGCGGUGUGUACAAACGGCAGGGACGUAAUCAAUGCGAGUUAAUGACUCACACUUACUGGGAGAUCGGGAGAGCGC
Molecule: long non-coding RNA, 122 nt
Organism: Drosophila miranda
Lineage: Eukaryota; Metazoa; Arthropoda; Insecta; Diptera; Drosophilidae
Exons: 3
Source: RefSeq, a predicted model, not a curated record